AAGUAAAAGAGAGACAAGAAAAAAGAACAUAAAUAGCGAUGGGGACGCUGGGGCAGUGGCUCGCGAUUGCUUUUUUAUGUGGACGCUGGUGCAGUGGUGGCACACAUUUUUUUUUUUUUUUGCUUCCUUUUUUGCUUCUUGU
RNAcentral lists this non-coding RNA (142 nucleotides) under Heterosigma akashiwo. Lineage: Eukaryota; Raphidophyceae; Chattonellales; Chattonellaceae. The record is from RNAcentral.